CCUGCGUUAUUAAUAAAAUAAAAUAAAAAACAUUCCCAAUCUGAGCUCUGUCACUAGCCUCGCGAUAACUGCCACCUGUAGCAGCCUGUCGCGAGGGGUGUGUGAGGUCAGAUGACAAGAGUUAUAACGCGGGAAAAACAACAACAACAAAAACCAAAACCCAUGUGUAAGUACCGUGAUAAAUGGGACAGCGAAUUUACUUUUCUGAAGAGGAGCAGGUCUGCAACAAAUUUGUACAACAACUCACUAAAAGAGUAAAAGAAAAGUUAUGUGAAAUGAAAAGAAAAACUGUAAAAGAAAAGCAAUAUGAAAUGAAAAGAAUGUGUGGAAUGGAAAUAAAAUGUAAAUGUAAAGACAAGCAAUGUUAAAUUAACAGAAAAUAUGCAAAUAAGCCUUUAAAUAAAUGCUCUUCAUAUAUA
Molecule: long non-coding RNA, 419 nt
Organism: Carassius carassius (crucian carp)
Lineage: Eukaryota; Metazoa; Chordata; Actinopteri; Cypriniformes; Cyprinidae
Exons: 2
Source: RefSeq, a predicted model, not a curated record